ACGGGCAGUGGCCGUGCGAGGCCGCGGGGCUCUCGGCCAGGGCCGCUCCCGGCAGGAACCGCGGCCGCUGAGCCGGGAGCGAAGGCGCGGAGCCGGGAGCGGCCAUGGCGAAGCCGGGGAGCGGCGGUGCCGGGCCCGGAGGAUGAGGGAGCCAGCCCUGCCUGGAGGAAGAGGAGGAGGUGUGGGAGGAUGGAGACAGCGGCCACCAAAGGCUGGGGAAGGCACAGGUCCAGGCUCUGGAUGAAGUCCUUCCUUUCCCAAGGGAGAGGAAAGCCAGCAGGAUGUGAACCACAGGUGGUGCUUUAGGAAAGCCCCUCCAGCCUGGGAAGGUGCUUUUGGCUCCAGACACAUUCCCAGAGCCCAGGAGCAGCAGGACCUGUGCUGUGCCCAGCAGAGAAAAGCUGCCAAGGAAUAAAGCAAGAGCUUUCCCCAGUGAAAACCUGCCCAGUCCCAUGCUGGGUUUGCACACACACAAGGUUCAAUCCCUGCUGGAAUUCCAGUCACACCUCCAGAUCAAUGUGCAGUUUAAGGUCUCACAGCCUGACCAGGACAAUCUCUUGCCUCUGGACAUGGAAAAUCAAUUUUUCCUUGUUACAGCACCAGCUCCAGAAUCCUCUGAGGCUGAAACAAAGACAAGGAACCUUCUGAGAUGGAAAGAGGCCAGAGCAAGUUGUUGUGGGAAAGGAAGAUGAAAGAUGGGAAACAUUUGAGCAAGAGGUGCUGAAAAGAGCUGGAGUUUCUGUUUUUGAGUCUCCGACUUAAACUCACCCUGGAUUGUCCAACUUCCAUGGACUGGUCACCGUGGCCAGGAGUGUCCAAUCCUGCUGGAAUGCACUGGAGCAGGAGCUCAUUUUCAUUUUGUGCUGGUAAAGACUCUCUGGGUGACCCCCAGUGACUGGAAGGACCAGACUGGGCUCCCAGGGCACUAAUUCCAGGGGUUCUGUUUUUGGGAGCAGCACAGGAGCCGUUCCCUUGCCCAGAGGAGCAGCCAGUGCCUCCCUUGGUCCACAGAUCCCCAGGACUGACCACAGAGGAAAUGACAGGAAUGUGGAAAUCCCCCACAGUGGAGUUUGUGGUGCUCUGGAUGACAUCUUGGAUUUUUAAUGUUAAAGGGGGGCUGUGGAAUGACUUCUCUCCUUUUUAUUGUCAUUGUUCUCACUGCUCGUGUUGCUCUCACUGAUAUUAUGUGUUGUCAUUAAUAUUAAAUGAUUGUAUUUGACUGGUUUCCAUUAUUAAACUGUUCUGAGCUGGG
This is an RNA transcript of Passer montanus (Eurasian tree sparrow), 1252 nucleotides long. It is a transcript of the gene named translation initiation factor IF-2-like, with no coding region annotated. The record is from RefSeq and is a predicted model, not a curated record. The transcript has 6 exons. Lineage: Eukaryota; Metazoa; Chordata; Aves; Passeriformes; Passeridae.